GGGCGAGUAGUUCAGCCGGCGAGAACGCUGGUCUCACAUACCAGAGGUCGCAGGUUCAAGUCCUGCCUCGCCCA
Molecule: transfer RNA, 74 nt
Filed under: bacterium
Lineage: Bacteria
Description: tRNA-Val
Rfam family: tRNA
About the family: Transfer RNA (tRNA) molecules are approximately 80 nucleotides in length. Their secondary structure includes four short double-helical elements and three loops (D, anti-codon, and T loops).
Source: RNAcentral